AUUGAACGCUGGCGGCAUGCUUUACACAUGCAAGUCGAACGGGCUGGGGGCAACUCCACUCAUUGGCAAACGGGUGAGUAAUGCAUCCGAACGUGUCCCGUACUGGGGGAUAACCCAGGCCAAAGCCGGACUAAUACCUCAUAUGCUCUACGGAAGAAAGUGGGGGACCGCUAGGCCUCACGCUAUGGGAGCGGCCGAUGUCCGAUUAGCUUGUUGGUGGGGUAAUGGCCUACCAAGGCCACCAUCGGUAGCUGGUCUGAGAUGAUGAUCAACCACACUGGGACUGAGACACGGCCCAAACUCCUACCGGAUGCAACAGUGGGGAAUUUUGGACAAUGGGGGCCACCCUGAUCCAGCCUUGCCCCGUGCUGGAACAAGGCCUUCGGGUUGUCUACCGCUUUUGGUCUUCAAUAAAAGGCGCCAACUAAUACUUGGCGUUCUUGACUGUACCGGCCCAAAAAACACCGGCUAACUACGUGCCAUCACCCGCGGUAAUACAUAAGGUGCGAGCGUUAAUCUAAAUUACUGCGCGGAAAUCGUGCGCAGGUGGUUCGUUUAGUCAAAUGUGAAAGCCCCGAGGUCAACACGGGAACAGCACCUGAGACUGUCGGGAUGGAGUAUGCACGAGAGGGAUCAAUUCCACGCGUAGCAGGGAAAUGCGUAGAGAUGUGGAGGAGCACCGCUGGCGAAGGCAGCCCCCUGGGCCAACACUGACGCUCAGGCACGCAAGCGUGGGGAGCAUACACGAGUAGAUACCCCGGUAGUCCACGCCCUAUACGAUGUCGAUUGGGUGUCGGGGAAGCGAUUCAUUGGUACCGUAGCUGACGCGUGAAGUUGACCGCCUGGGGAGUACGGCCGCAAGGUUAAACCUCAAAGGAAUUGACGGGGACCCGCACAAGCGGUGGAUGAUGUGGAUUAAUUCGAUGCAACGCGAACAACCUUACCUACCCUUGACAUGUCUGGAAGCCUGGUGAGAGGCGGGUGUGCCCGAAAGGGAACCGGAACACAGGUGCUGCAUGGCUGUCGUCAGCUCGUGUCGUGAGAUGUUGGGUUAAGUCCCGCAACGAGCGCAACCCUUGUCCAUAGUUGCUACGCAAGGGCACUGUAGGGAGACUGCCGGUGACAAACCGGAGGAAGGUGGGGAGGACGUCAAGUCUUCAUGGCCCUUAUGGGUAGGGCUUCACACGUCAUACAAUGGUCGGUACAGAGGGUUGCCAACCCGCGAGGGGGAGCCAAUCCCAGAAAGCCGAUACGUAGUCCG
RNAcentral lists this ribosomal RNA (1261 nucleotides) under uncultured bacterium. RNAcentral's name for it is "16S ribosomal RNA". It matches the Rfam family "Bacterial small subunit ribosomal RNA", at positions 28 to 1295 of the family's 1533-position model. The record is from RNAcentral.